This 200-nucleotide ribosomal RNA is filed under the name Nyctiphanes environmental sample. RNAcentral's name for it is "partial 16S ribosomal RNA". It matches the Rfam family "Archaeal large subunit ribosomal RNA", at positions 1923 to 2143 of the family's 2987-position model. The record is from RNAcentral. Lineage: Eukaryota; Metazoa; Arthropoda; Malacostraca; Euphausiacea; Euphausiidae.
GUCUUUAUGUUUAUAUUUAAAGUCUGGCCUGCCCACUGAAAAUUUUAAAGGGCCGCGGUAUUUUGACCGUGCAAAGGUAGCAUAGUCAUUAGUCUUUUAAUUGGAGGCUUGUAUGAAUGGUCGGACAAGGGACAAACUGUUUCAAUAGAAUUAAUUGAAUUUAACCUUUAAGUAAAAAGGCUUAAAUAUUUUAAAGUGAC